Molecule: ribosomal RNA, 525 nt
Filed under: uncultured bacterium
Lineage: Bacteria
Description: bacterial SSU rRNA
Rfam family: Bacterial small subunit ribosomal RNA
Source: RNAcentral
ACAUCCAGCGAACUUGGCAGAGAUGCCUUGGUGCCUUCGGGAACGCUGAGACAGGUGCUGCAUGGCUGUCGUCAGCUCGUGUUGUGAAAUGUUGGGUUAAGUCCCGNAACGAGCGCAACCCUUAUCCUUUGUUGCCAGCGAUUCGGUCGGGAACUCAAAGGAGACUGCCGGUGAUAAACCGGAGGAAGGUGGGGAUGACGUCAAGUCAUCAUGGCCCUUACGAGUAGGGCUACACACGUGCUACGAUGGCGCAUACAAAGAGAAGCGACCUCGCGAGAGCAAGCGGACCUCAUAAAGUGCGUCGUAGUCCGGAUCGGAGUCUGCAACUCGACUCCGUGAAGUCGGAAUCGCUAGUAAUCGUGGAUCAGAAUGCCACGGUGAAUACGUUCCCGGGCCUUGUACACACCGCCCGUCACACCAUGGGAGUGGGUUGCAAAAGAAGUAGGUAGCUUAACCUUCGGGAGGGCGCUUACCACUUUGUGAUUCAUGACUGGGGUGAAGUCGUAACAAGGUAGGCGUAGCGAG